UCUGGGGGGCAGAGUGGGAAAGGGCAGGACUGGGAAGGGAGCGGGAUCCAAUCACUCUGCAUCUUCUGGGAUUUGCCUUCCCCAGACCUUAGAAGUGAGGGCAGGUGAAGAAAAGAGAGGACACAGGGCUAGGGAAAGGCCAGGGAAUGAGGGAAGAGAAAGGAGGAGGAGGGGAGGGAGAGAGAGAGGACACACAUGGAGAGAGGCAGACAGCAGAGGCAGAGACAGUCAAAAUACAGAGAUCGACAGUAAGAGAGACAGCAACAGAACAGAGACAGAGAGAGAGAGACACGUGGAGAUAAUGAGGGAUACGGAAAAACCAAGUGAGCUAUCUAAGUAUCUAUAAAUGUCCGCCUAUCACCUAUCUAUCUGUCUGUCUGUCAGUCAUCAUAGACCAAAUCUCACACAGGGACAGUGAUCAGAGAUAGAGACACACAGGGCCAGAGACAGACAAAUGAAGACAGAGAACUAGAGAAAGGCAGAAGAGAGAGUUGGAGAGACAGAGAGACACAUGCUUCCUGAGAGACAUACAGAUGGACGCUGAAAGAGAAAGGGCAGGAAAUAAAGAGCUAAACAGAGACUGAGGGAAAGAGAGAGUGACAGACACAAAGGAGAGAUGCACAGAGACAGACACACAGGCACACACGUGGAAAUUACACAGAGAUGUGCAGAGACAGGGACCAAGACAGACACAGAGAGAGAGAGGGGAGCAGAAGCAGAAGCAGAAGCAGAGGGAAAAUAAUCAGGGGUUCUGAACCCAGGGGCUCAGUGCAGAGAGAGGUGCCCCCUGCUGGGUAAACGCUGGUACUAGCCGGUGCCCAGCCCCGCUCUGGGCUCUAAAACCUGGGUGAAUGAACGAACACAGAGCCAGAGAAAACCCCAGAAAGACAAGCCCAGGAACCUUGAGGACCGUCGGAGGAGAAGACAAGGGAGAUCCCAGGCAGUCUAUCGACUGAAGAGAGAUGAAGCCGGUGAGCCCUGUCUUGAAAGCCAUCCUCCUCUGUGACCUGUACCUGGCCCUUUACCUGCUGAGCUUCUGGCAGCAGAAGUGUGAUCUGCUCCAGAAAUGAUGUGCAAAACUUGACCUGUUUCCUGAGGUUGAUAUAAGUCAGCCAGCCUCAAACCCUUCUGCAAGAGCUCUGCAUUAGCAAACCAAGCUGGUUCCAAGCAUCCCCUUCCUCACAAGCGGUCUUGUUGGGCUCCAGCAACCGCCCCCUCCCUUUGUACCUGCAAGGAUGAAAGGUCAGCCUCGCUGAAGCUAGUUUACAGGUAUUCUAUCACGCUGGGUUGGCUCUCCCUCAGUUUUGGAAAUAGUCCUUUCAUUAAACUCGAAAUGAUCCCAUUUGUGUGUGACUCACCUUUCCUGCUGGGGUCCCAACACAGCUCUCCAUUGCAUGGUUGCUCCAUAGUUUGUGUGGUCCGUCAUCAGGCCACAGUUAUUUCCAAUCUUUCACUGUGACCCAAAGCGGCAACACAUAAACUUGCCUAUAGGUCAUUUUGCACACAUUUAUCCUAUUUGUAGGAUAAAUAUUAGAUGAGGAAUUGCUGAGUCAGAUAAUGCAUAUUUAUAAUUUUGGAUGAUACUGUUAAAUCAUGCUGAAUGGUUGAACCAAUCCACGGCUCCAUUAGCAGAGGAUGAGAAUGAGGGUUGCUUUUUAGACUAAAUUCCUAAUCCGUAAUGUUUGGAUGCCUGUCUUGGAGGCUAUUAAGGAUUCUCCAGAUAAGGAUACCAAACUUCUAGUUAAUAAUAGGCAGGUAUCUGGAAUAAUAAAUUGAAUAAAAAAUUGAAUAAAGGGUGUGUGUGAAUGUAUUUGUUUCCCAUCUUGGAAUCUCUGAUCACAGUAGUUAAGAGAAAUUAUUUUUUUUUAAGAUUUUAUUUAUUUGACAGAGAUCACAAGCAGGCAGAGAGGAAGGCAGAGAGAGAGGGGGAAGCAGGCUACACGCUGAGUGGAGAGCCCAAUUUGGGAAUCGAUCCCAGGACCCUGAGAUCAUGAGCUGAGCCAAAGGCAGAGGCUUAACCCACUGAGCCACUCAGGUGCCCGAAGAGAAAUUACUGAAAGUUCGUCUUAGAACGUUUUUAUGUUUAAGGGACUAUGAUUCUGUGUACAGUGAUUAUAGUUUUUCAAGUCUCUGGUACUGAGAUCGUGGUUCCCAGGUCUCAUGGAUCUUUGUGCUGUACCUCGAAGAUUGUGUGAGUCACAGGUUUCCCAGCUUCUUCCCAAGAGACGGUGCACGUGGAUGGUUAUAGUCUGAAGAGGCAUUGUUAUUAGUGUGCUUGUUAUGAAACAAGACACCAUGCAUCUGGAGUUUCCUCGUUACCCGCCCAUCCCUCCCCCAUGGAAAGCAUCUGAAAAUGGAACCUAAGCUGUUCACACAAAUCUGAAAAUGUUUGGAACUGGAUAACUAGGGUGUAUUAUGAAACACAUGGGCUCUGGAGGUUAGGUUACAUCAUACUUGACUUUUCUUUUGCCUGUGUGUAGAAUGAGAAAGGGCAAGAAAGCAUCAGAAAGAUCUGAUUCAAGUCUGGGUAUGGUUACUUUUUAGCUGUGUCAUCGUGGCUAUGUCGUUCAAUGCCUUCAGACUCCAUUUCCUCACCAGCGAAAUGAGAAUAAUAGUUAUUAGGAAUCAAGGGCUCUAAAGUCAUCAAUUUCCUGUCCCACCAUCAUAUAUUUUGCUAUCCCAACUAGGUCUCCCCAGUAUGGCACUCCUGUGAUCUCAGAAACAUCCCACCCAAAUUUGGUAAAAUUCAACCCUUCCUCCCUGCAUGGAAACCUUGCCACAAUUUCCUCCCAGCCCUCAUAUAUAUAUUUCUUUCUACCAUGACCAGAUUUCAUGGUGCUUUUUCUCUCAACGAGGACCUUAGCUGGUUUAGGUCAUUUACGGGUGAUGGGACCCAAAACUUUGUAUCUGGAUUAUCUAAAUCUUCAAUAGCUUGAUUGGUUUUGCAGUUGUUAUAAUUUUCUGCUAACACUCCAUCAUCAGGUCUUCAGUCUCUGCUAGGGGUCACUAGCAAGUGAGCAAUUGUUUCUCCAGGGAAUAAAUCUGCUUAUUCCUCCUGGUGGAUAAUCUUUAUGGAUUAUCUCUGGUCCAAGAAAGAACCCAGUCUAGAGAGACAGUACAGGGCAGUGAUAAAGAGUCUUGGCUUUGCAUCUAGACGGCUUUGGUUCAAAUACACAAUUCACUAUUUACUUGUUCUGCAAGUUUAAGCAAAUCAUUUCACUUGCUGAAGUCUUAUCUUUUCUCUUUAUAAAAUGAACGUGAACUCAUGGUGUGCUGGAAUGGGCCAGUACCAGCUCAUGGGAGCCACUGUGCCUCUCUUCACAAUUCCACUGGCUGGUGACUUGAUAUUGAGUUGAUAGCUUGAAAUCAGCUAGAAGUCAGAACAUCCCGCCCCACCCCACCUGCGGAAAGCCCGCUGAUACUGUCCCUUCCUUCCGAACUUGUUGUAAAGAUGAACUGUGGGACACCAUGCAAGAAAAAUGGUUAUCAUGUCUGCUGACAUGCUCAAUAAACGUUAACCCUUAUCUUUAGUAUUAUAUGGGUAAGACAAAACAGUCACACAACAAUUGGGGAUUAUUAUUAUCUGAUUGCUAUUUUUUAGCACAUGUAUAGAUGAUAUUUGAGUCUCAGGUCAAAGGGCUCUGGAGGAAGGAACCUGGGAUGCUGAGACAUGUUUGACCCAACAGAUAACUGGUGUUGAGCCUGAAUCCCUGAGAUAGUGCAAUGUACAAGGGCAAGGAGCCUGAAGCCAGACUGCCCUGUGUGACUCAAGCCCUUUUUUGCUUCAUGUUAUUAUUUUCUUAAUGUUUUCAAGAUUUUCUUUUUUUUAAGAUUUUAUUUAUUUAAGGCAGAGAGAGAGAGUGCAUGGGCAGGAAUUAGGGGAAGAGGGGAAGAAGCAGGCUCCCCGCUGAGCAGAGAGGCCAAUGCGAGACUCGAUCUCAGGAUCCUGGGAUCAUGACCUGAGCUGAAGGCAGAUGCUCAAGCUGACUGAGACACCCAGAUGCCUCCUGCUUCAAGUUAUUCAUGUUAUUGUACAAUGAAGGUAAUCACCACAUCUCCGUUUUGACAUCAUAAGGAUUAAACACACUGAAAAGGCAGCUCUUGAUGGGAGGCACUCAGUAUGUGUUAAUUGCUCUUAACCAUGUAGUCAUGGGCAGUUUUCCAAGCCCUUAACCAUCUGGUUUCCAUUUUGACCUAAAAGCGAGACAUCUGAGUGAGGAGGCAGAGGUUCAUCCCCAUUUCACAGAAGGGGAAACAGUGGCCAACUGUGGCAGUUAGGAGAGUAUAGGGUGUGGUGACCAGUCCUGGGCUAGAAGCCAGCACUUCUUCCUCCCCCACCUUGAGGUAGCUCUGAACCUUCCAGCUAAUGUCGUGAAUUGAGAUUUUCACUAAAAGGGGAGUCACCGUUCAACUUUCUGGAGCUGGGCACGGUGACAGUUAGGUCAAAGAUGAGCAGGGGGCAUAGCUGUCUCUGAGAUGAUUCAGCCCAGCACCUCUGCUGAAAUCUGGUCACAACUGCUUUCUCUGUUAGCUCUGAUAUUAUAGGAUUUAUUGUUCCUCCCUCUUCCCAUCCAUCCUCUCCUGCCUGCCAACUAAUCAGCCAAUCACAUGUCCUUCUCUUGGAAUAAGCCCCGGCGUUUACAGAAUCAGGCUGAAGAUAGCCACCUCCUUCAUCAUAAGAAGUGGUGGGAAGGAUUUUUGAUGGGCGUUGUGAAGAAAUACCAACUUCUUCAGAGAGAGAUCUGCCAUUCUAGGGGAACUUCUGAUGGUGUCUCUAGAUAUGAGUGAUGCUAAGGUUUAAAGAGCUGGUGAUUUGCAGGUUCUUACUCCAUAGCUCUGGUUCUGUGUAUCAAGUCGUGGCUCGUUAGGGAGGAAAAGUUGUUUGUAUCUAGGUGUCUUCGUGGUCAUACCUGUUCAUGUUAGAACAGAUUUCAGUUGGAGUUGAAUUAUCCCUCAUCUCUGGGAGAGGUGUAGGACAGGGAUAAACAAAAACCUCCCCAGAAGCCCUGGGUCCGGACUCUUUGGCUGCAAGUGGUAGAGACUCCCUUCAGACCAACCUUAGCAAAAAUGGUGAUUUGUUAACUCACCCCGAGUCUGGAUUCAGGUGCUCUGAGAGAUGAGUUUUCUGGACGCUCCCAUGACUGAAUCUUUUGAAUCUACUGAUCUAUGUAUGACUUCGUUCUCUUUUAGGGCUUCCCCAAGAACUUGUAGGAUGGUCUUAUACAGUCUUGGGCCUACCUUGUCUUUGUCAGAUUAUAUUCCUUCCCUACUGGCUCUUACCCAAUGGGCAAAUUCUAUUUCUCGCCCUUCUACUUCAGGUUUGCCCACUUAACUUGCUUUGGGGAGUAAAUUGUGAGUGAAAAUGAGUUGGUAAGCGUAAAUGUUAAGGAUCAUCUCAUUGCUUUGCUACUUUUCUUCCCUCACAUGGUACUGGCCUGUCCGGGGUAGAUGCUCCCUCUUCAGUUGGUCCAGCGAACAAAGAGGACAUGAAGGAAAUCUAUAGCUAAUUAGCACCAAGCAUGACUUUGUGUGAGUGCUGUACCCUUGUUGAAUUAUCGGUGUUGUCUAACUUAGUCUAAGCUGACUAAAUAUGUUGUAUUUAUGGUUCUAGUUUUUAGAGAAGGGGCAACUCUUUUCCCAGAAGCUCAAGCAAAAGUUUCAGGAAGAAAUCCGAGUGGUCAGGUGACCAUCUCUUAGGAAAUCUUGGUGGUGGCAGGGAGUGGAAGACUGUGAUUAGUCACACCUGCACCAUGAUCCCACCCCCCUGUUCUCCAACCCUGACCACACAGGAACUUGAGCAAGUUUCCAGUGCAAUUGGAUAGGCAUAGUUCUCAAAGGAAGGGAUGUUGAUAAGGGAUAAAAAUGUGUCUCUGCAGAUCUCUUCUUCGGUGGAGAGCUGGUCUGUGGGUUAGGAUGAGAUAAAUUUGCCCAGGGAUCAAGGGAUCUGCAAGGACGUUCUAACCUUUCCCCUUUUGAAGCUCAUUUUCUUUCUUUCUAUCUUUUUAGAAAAGGUUUUAUUCAUUUGUCAGAGAGAGAGAGAGCGCAAGUGCACACAAGCAGGGGGAGAAGCAGGCUCCCUGCUGAGCAAGACUGACACAGCGCUCCAUCCCAGGACCCCAGGAUCAUGACUUGAGCCAAAGACAGAUGCUUAACCGACUGAGCCAUCCACGUGUCCUGAAGCUCAUUUUUCUUAGAACCCCUCUUAUAGAUCAGGAUGUGUCUGGUUUAAGUCUGAUGCCAUAAAAAGACUCCAAGGACCCCAGCGGGACUCUUUAAGGGCAGGAGGACCUGUAGUAGGUCACCUUGCAUCCAUGUUGAUGGAAAAAGAACUGGUCCAGGCAGAGUGCCAGACAGAAGCAGAAGAGCCUUCAUCUUCACUCAUCAGGACUUUGGAACCACCUCUGAACAUGUGACACGAAGCAGAAGAGCCAUAACCCUAGAAGCUCAUUUUUGGGAUUGUAUAUUUAUGUUGCCUGUCAAGAGAGAAGGCCUAACAACGUAGUUAAGGGCAUAGCUCUGAGAUCAAGCUGUCUGGGCUCAAAUCCCAGGUCUGCCUCUUGCUCUCUAUUCUCUCUUGGGCAAAUGACUCGGGUUAGCUGGGAGGUUGUUUAAUUAUCUGUAAGAGGGAUAUAAUAGUUGUAUCUGCUUCAAAGGAUUGUUGAGAGGAUUAAGUGAGUCACUGAAUGUGAAGCCCUUCAAACAGAACCUAAAGACGAUCAGAACCCUAUGACCAUUGCUUGUGACUAUGUGAACUCCACUAAGGGGCCCCCCUACUGUCCCCCCAACCAACCCAGGUUUUCUUGGGCUGCUGGCCCAAUCAUUUCUCCUUCCUUCAUUUGGAAAGAUACAAAACCUCUGCCCAGGUUUGUUAACUUACUCUGAACAAGUAAUACACUCACUUGCUUCCAAAUGCAAAAGCUGUAAAUUGAUAGUGAAAUUGGCUUGUGCCAGCCUAUCCUCCUACCUUUAACUCCCCUCAGCCAAAGGAAAUGACUUUAAAUUCUUAAAAAAAUUUUUAAAAGAUUUUAUUUGUUUAUUUGACAGAUAGAGAUCUCAAGUAGGCAGAGAGGCAGGCAGAGAAAGAGGAGGAAGCAGGCUUCCUGCCAAGCAGAGAGCUUGAUGUGGGGCUCCAUCCCAGGACCCUGGGAUCAUGACGUUAACUGAAGGCAGAGGCUUUACCCCACUGAACCACCUAGGCGCCCCAAAUUUUUAUUGAUUUAUUUGAAGUAGGUUCUGGGCCCAACUUACCAUCCUGAGAUCAGAGUUGCACACUCUACUGAUGGAGCCAGCCACGUGCUCCCUAAGGAAGCUACUUUAUUAUUAUUAUUAUUAUUUUACUUCUUAAAAAUAUUUUAUUUAUUUGACAGAGAGAGAAAAAGAGACCACUAGCAGGAGGAGCAGUAGAGGGAAGGGAAAAGCAGGCUCCCCACUGAUCAUGGAGCCUGAUGCGGGGCUCGGACGCAGAGAUCAUGACCUGAGCUGAAAGCAGCUGCUGAACGACUGAGCCACCCAGGUGGCACAGGAAGCUACUUUAAGCAAACUAUCAUUUUUGUAUAUAUCCUGCUAUUUCCUUUUCAAUUUUUUACCUUUUUUUUCUUUGAUAAUUAUAAAUUCCAUGUAGUAAUGGGCACGGAUAUUGAAUGAAUGGGCUUGAAGAAUUUCUACAUUUGUAUCUGAUACUUUGGAAGACUCUUCUGUGUCCCAUCUAGUCAUUUUUACCCCGAAGCAAUGACUGUCCUGACCUUUACAAAUUUGUGUUGCCCAGUUUUGAAAUUCACAUAUAUGGAAUCACAGCAUGGGAAUGUUUUCUUUUAGUGCUUGGGUUUUUUCACAUCGGUGAUAAUUAUUCAAUAGCUAUUAUUUACUAACCCACUCUAUAGCCACUGGGCAUUUGGGUUGUCUCCAGUGUUCCGCUGUUUUGACCAAUGCUGUUGUGAACAUUCUAGUACUUAGGUUUUUGUGGGACAUGUGCACUCAACACUCCUAGAAUACACCCCGGUGCUGCUGCCUCAUUCAUUAAUAAUGUGUUUCGUUUUAGUAAACUGCCAGUUUCCUAAGGGAUUGUUUGAAUGUACAUUCCCAACAGCAAGGUAUGAAAGGUCUUUAAAAAAAAAAAAAAAGGAUUGUAUUUAUUUAUUUGAGAGAGAGAUAGCGAGAGAGAGAAAGAGCAUGAGCAGGGGCGGGGGGAGAGGGGGCAGCAGACACUGGGUGAGCAAGGAGCCAGACACAGGGCUCGACCCCGAUCUGAAGGCAGAUCUGAAGGCAGACCAUGACCUGAUCUGAAGGCAGACUGCCUAACCUAAUGAGUCACCCAGGCGCCCUCCUUUUUAAAAGAUUUCUUUUUAAAGAUUUUAUUUAUUUAUUUGACAGAGAGAGAUUACAAGUAGGCAGAGAGGCAGGCAGAGAGAGAGAGGAGGAAGCAGGCUCCCUGCUGAGCAGAGAGCCCGAUGCGGGACUCGAUCCCAGGACCCUGAGAUCAUGACCUGAGCCAAAGGCAGCGGCUUAACCCACUGAGCCACCCAGGCACCCCUUUUUAAAAGAUUUUAUUUUGAGUUGAUAGCUGUUAUUUUUAAGAUUUUCAACCACUAAGAGUCAGAGAGUCCCCAGAGCACUUCUAGAGUAUGACUCUCCAAACUCUCAUAAAACCCUUUCUUUUGGAGUCUCUCUCCUCGUCCUUGUCUUCUGGCAAAUGUUCUCCCUCUCUUUCCACUAAGACCUGCCCUGCUCCUGCAAGAAGGCACACUGGUGGGCAUGUGCUGUCCCAACAACCAGACAGAAAGAAGCUUGACUUUCUUCUGCUCCUUGGCCUGCCCCUCCUGCCGCUCACCCUGGUCCUUGCUGUCACGUGAAACCUAAACCCAAACACUUCACUCUGGCCAAAACCCUUGUUCUACUCUCUGCUUCACUGAGGUGACACUGCUUGGGUCUUUGGUUUAAUAUUCCAAAGAAUGCAAACAUAACAGAAGGUCAAACAUCCCUCCCAUGAAGAGAACUGUUUUAUUUUUAUUUCCUUUAUACAAUCGGAAUCUUCUGUUUUAGGCCUACAAGAACCACAGGAUUAUCAGGAACAGUUUUCUGAUGUCUCAUAAAGAGAAGGGAGGACUUGGCCACCCAGCAUGGUGGUUAAGAGCAUGAAAUCUAGAGUCAACAACACGAGGCCAUGCCCAGGUCCCACCCUGCUCAGCUGUGGAGCCCAAAACAACUCACUCCCUGCUCCUUGGGCCUUGCUUCACUCGUCUGCAACUGGGGACGGUCAACCCGACCUCACUGGCUUGCUGUGAGGAUUUUAGCAAGAUCAUGCCUGUAAAAACUUCACACAGUAACAUCAUGAGCUCACUGAAUGCUACCAUUGUCAGCAGGGCUAGCGUUUAAAUUUGAACCAAGAAGGCUUACCUAAGAUUCUCACCUGGGAAGGAUUUGGAAUUAGUUACAGGUGGUUGGUUUCUCAACUCUGGGAAUGUACUAAAUGCCAUGAGCUGUUUGCAUUAAAAAUGGUAAUUUUAAAAUAA
This is a long non-coding RNA of Mustela lutreola (European mink), 9509 nucleotides long. RefSeq lists it as uncharacterized. The record is from RefSeq and is a predicted model, not a curated record. NCBI's taxonomy places the organism in Eukaryota, Metazoa, Chordata, Mammalia, Carnivora, Mustelidae. The transcript is spliced from 4 exons.